GCGUAGGUGGCCUGUCAAGUCGGAUGUGAAAUCUCCCGGCUCAACUGGGAGGGUGCAUUCGAUACUGGCGGGCUAGAGUGCAGCAGAGGGAGGUGGAAUUCCCGGUGUAGUGGUGAAAUGCGUAGAUAUCGGGAAGAACACUAGUGGCGAAGGCGGCCUCCUGGGCUGUAACUGACACUGAGGCCCGAAGGCGUGGGGAGCAAACAGGAUUAGAUACCCUGGUAGUCCACGCAGUAAACGAUGGAUACUAGGUAUGGGGAGUAUCGACCCUCUCUGUGCCGAAGCUAACGCUUUAAGUAUCCCGCCUGGGGACUACGGUCGCAAGACUAAA
RNAcentral lists this ribosomal RNA (331 nucleotides) under uncultured bacterium. RNAcentral's name for it is "bacterial SSU rRNA". It matches the Rfam family "Bacterial small subunit ribosomal RNA", at positions 569 to 898 of the family's 1533-position model. The record is from RNAcentral.